RNAcentral lists this ribosomal RNA (253 nucleotides) under uncultured bacterium. RNAcentral describes it as "partial 16S ribosomal RNA". It matches the Rfam family "Bacterial small subunit ribosomal RNA", at positions 524 to 776 of the family's 1533-position model. The record is from RNAcentral.
UACGUAGGGUGCGAGCGUUGUCCGGAAUUAUUGGGCGUAAAGGGCUCGUAGGCGGCCAACUAAGUCAGACGUGAAAUCCCCAGGCUUAACCUGGGAACUGCGUCUGAUACUGGAUGGCUUGAAUUCGGGAGAGGGAUGCAGAAUUCCAGGUGUAGCGGUGAAAUGCGUAGAUAUCUGGAGGAAUACCGGUGGCGAAGGCGGCAUCCUGGACCGAGAUUGACGCUGAUGAGCGAAAGCUAGGGGAGCAAACGGG